CAGCAGCCGCGGGAAUACGUAGGGUGCAAGCGUUAAUCGGAAUUACUGGGCGUAAAGCGUGCGCAGGCGGUUCGCUAAGACAGAUGUGAAAUCCCCGGGCUUAACCUGGGAACUGCAUAUGUGACUGGCGGGCUAGAGUAUGGCAGAGGGGGGUAGAAUUCCACGUGUAGCAGUGAAAUGCGUAGAGAUGUGGAGGAAUACCGGUGGCGAAGGCAGCCCCCUGGGCCAAUACUGACGCUCAUGCACGAAAGCGUGGGGAGCAAACAGGAUUAGAUACCCGUGUAGUCCCUGUCUCUUAUAC
Molecule: ribosomal RNA, 301 nt
Filed under: uncultured bacterium
Lineage: Bacteria
Description: partial 16S ribosomal RNA
Rfam family: Bacterial small subunit ribosomal RNA
Source: RNAcentral